GACGAACGCUGGCGGCGUGCUUAACACAUGCAAGUCGAACGGAAAGGCCCUGCUUUUGUGGGGUGCUCGAGUGGCGAACGGGUGAGUAACACGUGAGUAACCUGCCCUUGACGUUGGGAUAACUUCAGGAAACUGGGGCUAAUACCGGAUAGGAGCUCCUGCUGCAUGGUGGGGGUUGGAAAGUUUCGGCGGUUGGGGAUGGACUCGCGGCUUAUCAGCUUGUUGGUGGGGUAGUGGCUUACCAAGGCUUUGACGGGUAGCCGGCCUGAGAGGGUGACCGGCCACAUUGGGACUGAGCUACGGCCCAGACUCCUACGGGAGGCAGCAGUGGGGAAUAUUGCACAAUGGGCGGAAGCCUGAUGCAGCAACGCCGCGUGCGGGAUGACGGCCUUCGGGUUGUAAACCGCUUUCGCCUGUGACGAAGCGUGAGUGACGGUAAUGGGUAAAGAAGCACCGGCUAACUACGUG
RNAcentral lists this ribosomal RNA (468 nucleotides) under uncultured bacterium. Its description in RNAcentral is "partial 16S ribosomal RNA". It matches the Rfam family "Bacterial small subunit ribosomal RNA", at positions 28 to 507 of the family's 1533-position model. The record is from RNAcentral.